Molecule: ribosomal RNA, 272 nt
Filed under: uncultured bacterium
Lineage: Bacteria
Description: partial 16S ribosomal RNA
Rfam family: Bacterial small subunit ribosomal RNA
Source: RNAcentral
UCGAAAGCUUGCUUUUGAUGGGCGUCGACCGGCGCACGGGUGAGUAACGCGUAUCCAACCUGCCCAUCACUUGGGGAUAACCUUGCGAAAGUAAGACUAAUACCCAAUGAUAUCUCUAGAAGACAUCUGAAAGAGAUUAAAGAUUUAUCGGUGAUGGAUGGGGAUGCGUCUGAUUAGCUUGUUGGCGGGGUAACGGCUCACCAAGUCGACGAUCGGUAGCCGGACUGAGAGGUUGAACGGCCACAUUGGGACUGAGACACGGCCCAGACUCC